This 492-nucleotide long non-coding RNA is filed under the name Dromaius novaehollandiae (emu). RNAcentral describes it as "lncRNA (ENSDNVG00000012918.1)". The record is from RNAcentral. Lineage: Eukaryota; Metazoa; Chordata; Aves; Casuariiformes; Dromaiidae.
UCUAUUCUCAUAAGAUGAUCUUGGAUUUGUUCCUUUACCACAGACUUUUUAGUGCAGUCCUGAUUUCUGUAUUAAUGAAUUGAGAAGAUGACAUCAGGCUCUUAGAUGCUUUCACAUGUGGAACAGGCAAAGAAAACUAUAGAUUCUCAGAGCUGCUGCUUUUCCUGUACCAUCCUCUUAUCACAUCCUCCCAGCUCAGAACAGUCGCUCUUCCAGGAUGAGCCAAGCACACAACAAAAUCCAAGCUGUGGUUCACACUAACACCGCGUUGAAGUCCUAAUACUGAAGAGAAGGCAAGUCUUGAGGGUAUUGUGCCCAUAGAUAAUUGGAAAAGCUGAAGAACAUUGUUGUAUACAUUCUAAAAAGAACUGAUAUUCAGCUAUAUGAACCACAAUUGAUUUUAAUUUUGUAACGAAAUAGGCAGCCUGAGAUUUUGAUCCUAUUUUAGAACCUGCCAAUAGGUAACAUUCCUGCACUGGAAACUGAGCUGAG